CUGUCUGUCUGUGUUCACGAGAGAACAUUUAUUGGGUUCAAUUUAUGUCAUUGGAACACUUAUUGGGUACUUUUGAUUUAUUGGGUAUACCCAAUAAUCCAAUUGCUUUCAUUGUGUUCCAGAGACAUUUACUGGGUAUUGGAUAACACAAACCCAAUAAAUGUUUGUCUGAGAUUUGUCUAUGAAAUCUAGUCCAUCUUAUGGACUUUACUGUUUGUUGAAAUCAAAUUCUUUCGGAAUGCCUUUGGUUUUAUCAUCAACAAUGAAGAAUUCAGAAGAGUUCCAAACAACUAUGACAUGUGAUAAGAUUAUCCAAUCAGAAAGUAGCAAUGGCUACUGAAACAGAUGCUAGAUGAACAUAUCACCUGGAACUAGAGAAAACCGAUUCAAGGCCUUAUUGCUAUCUGGAUAAGAAUAAUCAUGUGAUGAUGACCCUUUUGAUUUAGCACCUGGAAGUAGAAGUCAAGCCUGGAUGAGCUUUUUAAUGAAUUACAUGAUGAUGAUGAUGAUCAGAGCUAUACUGACAUCUGGACAAAGAGCAAUAAUGGAGCCCUGGAUUCACAGUUUAAAGAUUGAAAGUUUUUGUGAACAGAAUUUAGGUUAGCAGCAUAGAAAAAUCACUGCAUGCAGACCUUUCAACUCUGGAAAAGAAACCUUGGGCACCCAAGACCUUGUUGAGGCCAGGGGCAAGAAAUAGCAAGCAGUCUACCUGACCUGCAUGAAAAACACACAUUUUGCCGGGAAACGAAUCUGACUUCACAUUACGAAAUUUUAACAAGAGAGGGGCAAUUUGAUGAGCUUUCAUUCAAGAGGUCCUUCGUUGAUGAACGAAAAUUAAGGCUUUGGAGCUAUGAACCUGAACGUUAACAUUACCGCCUCAGAUGGAAAUGCAUUAGUGGACAAUACCAAUAUUGAGCUCCAUGCUGAUACUUUGUAAAUUGAAUUGGAACUUCAUCAAAGAUUAAAACACAACAAUGAGACACACUAGAUAGUUUUUCAGUACAGACUUCACACCAUAAAAUUUUAACAGAAAAGAGGCAAUUUGAUGAGCUUUCAUUCAAGAGGUCCCUCGUUGCUGAACGAAAAAUAGGGCCGGAGCUAUGAACCGGAACGUUUACAUUACCGCCUAAGGAAAAUGCAUCAGUGGACCGGAACGUUUACAUUACCGCCUAUGGAAAAUGCAUCAGUGGACUAUACUCAGGCAUUUCAUGUGGAUAUGAAGGUAGCGAGCAUUGCAGGAAAAAUACACGGCUAGUGUUAGAAAGCGUUUAAUGGGGUAUACCAUCAGAAAAAUCUGGUAAUUGAAGUGGUGAAAUGACGGGCGGCUGCCAAAAGGGUGCCCCUUUGGCUGGACAACUCAUACAGUUUUCAAGAUAUAAAGGUUUUUUGUUUUGCAGAUCAAUUGUAUAUAUAAUCGAGAUAUGCAUUAUUGCUGGGAUUUUAACUUGUAAAUUUUUGCAAAAAGUACCCACUUUUGAACUCGUCAUUUGCUUAUAGGGUACAUCUUUUGUGCAAAUAACUCCUUCCAACAGUUUUGAAGAUAGAGAUAUCUUAAUUUUGCAGAUUAAUUGUACAAUCUCAACCCCCAUAAACUUGAAAUGAUGACCAAAUAUCUUAAAAACAAAUGGGAUCUCCACCCCUAAACAAUAAAUAUUCUUGUUCAUUGUGUAGGUCAUUACCUUAGAGGGUGGUUAUGAAGAUAAACAUUUACAAUUUUCUUCAAUACAGGAUGUUGGUACAGGAAAAACAUUCAAUAUUUUCAUAUUAUAUAUUAUAUAUAGCAACAAGAGUAAAAUGGUCAAACAAGAGGAAAAGGAGGUAAGGGAAUAUUUUUCAGACUGUUGCACAUCAAAUACACUCCCAUGAAUGAAAAUGUGCCCAAGACUUACAGAAUGUAACUAAAAGUGCGGAAGAAUAUUGUGGAAAAGGAUAUGGGAGACCAUAAAGAAAAUAUAUGGAAUGACCUUAAAAGAGUUAAAAAGUAAUAAAUUUGCUAAGAUUUGCACUUUUGAUUGAGUUAUGUCUUAGUGUACAGGAAUUGUUAAUAAUAUAUGUGUGUGCUCAUAGAAAAGAACAUCAUGCAUAUGCAUUGUAAUACCAGUAAAUAUCGUAUUGAAAUUCUUGAUCAUGUUAAGAUUUUCAAAGUUUAUGAUGAGUUACAGUGUGUCUAAUUCCACACAUACAAAAUUCUCUGUCACUGUUUUAAGGGGAAAAAAAACCCAAAUUGUACCAGUAUGUGGAUAUGAACAUUUUUUGAAUAUUUUUGGAUGUGUAUUUUUUAUGAGUCAGCCAAUGACUGUUGAAUAUUUAAACUUUCUCUGCAUUUUUGUAUGCAAGCUGAAUAUUAUGCCAGUUUAAAGGUCUAUGGAAUGGUCUGUUUGAUCUUCUUAACCAUACAUGUAAGAUGUCUGACAAUCUUUCUGCAAGAUUUGAUAAAUUCGUGUACAUGCACAUGCAUUUGUGUAUAUUUCAUAUUUGAUGAUAAUUGUUGAAAUUGUUGAUAAAGUUGAGAUUUUCAAAGUUUAUGAUAGUUAUGUAAAUUGAUCAAUUUUGAGUUUAUGAUCAUAAAUUGUUGUUUAAAGUU
This is a long non-coding RNA of Magallana angulata, 2584 nucleotides long. RefSeq lists it as uncharacterized. The transcript is spliced from 8 exons. Lineage: Eukaryota; Metazoa; Mollusca; Bivalvia; Ostreida; Ostreidae. The record is from RefSeq and is a predicted model, not a curated record.